AGAGCGAACGCUGGCGGCAGGCCUAACACAUGCAAGUCGAGCGCCCGUAGCAAUACGGGAGCGGCAGACGGGAUAGUAACACGUGGGAACGCGCCCUUCGGUUCGGAAUAACUCAGGGAAACUUGAGCUAAUACCGAAUACGCCCUUACGGGGAAAGAUUUAUUGCCGAAGGAACGGCCCGCGUCCGAUUAGCUAGUUGGUGAGGUAAUGGCUCACCAAGGCUACGAUCGGUAGCUGGUCUGAGAGGAUGACCAGCAUCACUGGGACUGAGACACGGCCCAGACUCCUACGGGAGGCAGCAGUGGGGAAUUUUGCGCAAUGGGGGAAACCCUGACGCAGCAACGCCGCGUGGAGGAUGAAGUCCCUUGGGACGUAAACUCCUUUCGAUCGGGACGAUAAUGACGGUACCGGAAGAAGAAGCCCCGGCUAACUUCGUGCCAGCAGCCGC
This 448-nucleotide ribosomal RNA is filed under the name uncultured bacterium. Its description in RNAcentral is "SSU rRNA". It matches the Rfam family "Bacterial small subunit ribosomal RNA", at positions 26 to 518 of the family's 1533-position model. The record is from RNAcentral.